ACGAAGGGGGCUAGCGUUGCUCGGAAUGACUGGGCGUAAAGGGCGCGUAGGCGGAUUGUAUAGUCAGGCGUGAAAUUCCUGGGCUCAGCCGGGGGGCUGCGCUUGAUACGUAUAGUCUUGAGUGGGGAAGAGGGUCGUGGAAUUCCCAGUGUAGAGGUGAAAUUCGUAGAUAUUGGGAAGAACACCGGUGGCGAAGGCGGCUACCUGGACCGGUUCUGACGCUGAGGCGCGAAAGCGUGGGUAGCAAACAGGA
This 253-nucleotide ribosomal RNA is filed under the name uncultured prokaryote. Its description in RNAcentral is "partial 16S ribosomal RNA". It matches the Rfam family "Bacterial small subunit ribosomal RNA", at positions 525 to 777 of the family's 1533-position model. The record is from RNAcentral.